RNAcentral lists this ribosomal RNA (335 nucleotides) under uncultured Flavobacteriales bacterium. RNAcentral's name for it is "SSU rRNA". It matches the Rfam family "Bacterial small subunit ribosomal RNA", at positions 29 to 367 of the family's 1533-position model. The record is from RNAcentral. Lineage: Bacteria; Pseudomonadati; Bacteroidota; Flavobacteriia; Flavobacteriales.
AUGAACGCUAGCGGCAGGCCUAACACAUGCAAGUCGAGGGGUAACAGGAAAGCUUGCUUUCGCUGACGACCGGCGCACGGGUGCGUAACGCGUAUGCAACCUACCUCAUACUGGAGGAUAGCCCCUGGAAACGGGGAUUAAUACUCCAUAGUAUCACGAAUUCGCAUGUUUUUGUGAUUAAAGUUUUUCGGUAUGAGAUGGGCAUGCGUCCAUUAGCUUGUUGGUGAGGUAACGGCUCACCAAGGCAACGAUGGGUAGGGGCCUGAGAGGGUGGUCCCCCAACUGGUACUGAGACACGGACCAGACUCCUACGGGAGCAGCAGUGAGGAUAUUGG